RNAcentral lists this long non-coding RNA (310 nucleotides) under Brachypodium distachyon (stiff brome). Its description in RNAcentral is "long non-coding RNA (BDIS_LNC005841)". Lineage: Eukaryota; Viridiplantae; Streptophyta; Magnoliopsida; Poales; Poaceae. The record is from RNAcentral.
CUAGAUAGUUAAACCCCCUCAGUUAAAACCAUACUUGACCAAAUCUACCAUUCGUUUCUUUUUCUUUUACUCUUUCAGGCAAAGGAUCGCACGCAAUCAGAAAAGCAGAGACGACUCUCUCUGCUUUGUGUUCCUCUUCAAAAAAGAAAGAAAGAGCAGAGACGACCAUAAAAAAAAAAGAAUGCAGCGGCCUUCCGGAGAUCCUCAAGAAACUCGUCAUCAUUUUUGCGGUGCCCCCAAGGAGCUGGGCCUCUUCUUUGGCCAAAAAGAAAUAGGAGAUGAUGGCAUUGACUUGUGCACCUCUAGGCAG